This 506-nucleotide ribosomal RNA is filed under the name uncultured bacterium. RNAcentral describes it as "partial 16S ribosomal RNA". It matches the Rfam family "Bacterial small subunit ribosomal RNA", at positions 29 to 523 of the family's 1533-position model. The record is from RNAcentral.
AGUGAACGCUGGCGGUAGGCCUAACACAUGCAAGUCGAACGGCAGCACAGGAGAGCUUGCUCUCUGGGUGGCGAGUGGCGGACGGGUGAGGAAUACAUCGGAAUCUACUCUGUCGUGGGGGAUAACGUAGGGAAACUUACGCUAAUACCGCAUACGACCUACGGGUGAAAGCAGGGGACAUUCGGGCCUUGCGCGAUUGAAUGAGCCGAUGUCGGAUUAGCUAGUUGGCGGGGUAAAGGCCCACCAAGGCGACGAUCCGUAGCUGGUCUGAGAGGAGGCUCAGCCACCCUGGAACUGAGACACGGUCCAGACUCCUACGGGAGGCAGCAGUGGGGAAUAUUGGACAAUGGGCGCAAGCCUGAUCCAGCCAUACCGCGCGGGUGAAGAAGGCCUUCGGGUUGUAAAGCCCUUUUGUUGGGAAAGAAAUCCAGCUGGCUAAUACCCGGUUGGGAUGACGGUACCCAAAGAAUAAGCACCGGCUAACUUCGUGCCAGCAGCCGCCGUAA